CUCUUAUAAAGAGCGGUGGAGGGAAGUGCCCUAUGAAGCCCGGCAACCAGUACAUUUGUAAAAAGGUGCCAAGUCACGCAAAGCUAUGCUUUGGAAGAUGAGAG
RNAcentral lists this non-coding RNA (104 nucleotides) under Lysinibacillus odysseyi. Its description in RNAcentral is "SAM-I sequence". It matches the Rfam family "SAM riboswitch aptamer (S box leader)". Rfam says of the family: The SAM riboswitch is found upstream of a number of genes which code for proteins involved in methionine or cysteine biosynthesis in Gram-positive bacteria. The SAM riboswitch acts at the level of transcription termination control. The predicted structure consists of a complex stem-loop region followed by a single stem loop terminator region. RNAcentral also lists the same sequence under 1 other name. The record is from RNAcentral. Lineage: Bacteria; Bacillati; Bacillota; Bacilli; Caryophanales; Bacillaceae.